GAUGAACGCUGGCGGCGUGCCUAAUACAUGCAAGUCGAACGAAACUUCUUUAUCACCGAGUGCUUGCACUCACCGAUAAAGAGUUGAGUGGCGAACGGGUGAGUAACACGUGGGCAACCUGCCCAAAAGAGGGGGAUAACACUUGGAAACAGGUGCUAAUACCGCAUAACCAUAGUUACCGCAUGGUAACUAUGUAAAAGGUGGCUAUACUACCGCUUUUGGAUGGGCCCGCGGCGCAUUAGCUAGUUGGUAGGGUAAAGGCUUACGAAGGCAAUGAUGCGUAGCCGAAUUGAGAGGUUGAUCGGCCACAUUGGGACUGAGACACGGCCCAAACUCCUACGGGAGGCAGCAGUAGGGAAUCUUCCACAAUGGGCGAAAGCCUGAUGGAGCAACGCCGCGUGGGUGAAGAAGGUCUUCGGAUCGUAAAACCCUGUUGUUAGAGAAGAAAGUGCGUGAGAGUAACUGUUCACGUUUCGACGGUAUCUAACCAGAAAGCCACGGCUAACUACGU
This 511-nucleotide ribosomal RNA is filed under the name uncultured bacterium. RNAcentral's name for it is "partial 16S ribosomal RNA". It matches the Rfam family "Bacterial small subunit ribosomal RNA", at positions 28 to 506 of the family's 1533-position model. The record is from RNAcentral.